ACAGCAGUAGAUCACCCUAGGUGAUGGGCCUUAAGAUACAGCACCCCCCCCCAUCAGUAGUCAGCAGUUGAUCACCCUAGGUGUUGGGCCUUAAGGUACCCAUCAGUACAGACAGCAGUAGAUCACCCUAGGUGUUGGGCAUUAAGAUACAGCACCCCCCAUCAGUACAGACAUCAGUAGAUCACCCUAGGUGUUGGGCCUUAAGGUACAGCACCCCCCCCAUCAGUACAGACAGCAGUAGAUCACCCUAGGUGAUGGGCCUUAAGGUACAGCACCCCCAUCAGUACAGACAGCAGUAGAUCACCCUAGGUGUUGGGCCUUAAGGUACAGCACCCCCAUCAGUACAGACAGCAGUAGAUCACCCUAGGUGUUGGGCCUUAAGGUACAGCACCCCCAUCAGUACAGACAGCAGUAGAUCCAGAUCCACUGAGAAAAGACAAAACUCUCAUGAGCAGAUUUGUCUCUCCCCC
Oncorhynchus tshawytscha (Chinook salmon) is the source of this 470-nucleotide long non-coding RNA. Lineage: Eukaryota; Metazoa; Chordata; Actinopteri; Salmoniformes; Salmonidae. The record is from Ensembl.